GUCCAGACUCCUACGGGAGGCAGCAGUGGGGGAUAUUGCACAAUGGGGGGAACCCUGAUGCAGCGACGCCGCGUGGGUGAAGGAGUAUUUCGGUAUGUAAAGCCCUAUCGGCAGGGAAGAAGCAAGACGGUACCUGACUAAGAAGCCCCGACUAACUACGUGCCAGCAGCCGCGGUAAUACGUAGGGGGCGAGCGUUAUCCGGAUUCACUGGGUGUAAAGGGAGCGUAGACGGCAGCGCAAGUCUGAAGUGAAAUGCCGGGGCUUAGCCCCGGAACUGCUUUGGAAACUGAGCAGCUAGAGUGCAGGAGAGGUAAGUGGAAUUCCUAGUGUAGCGGUGAAAUGCGUAGAUAUUAGGAGGAACACCAGUGGCGAAGGCGGCUUACUGGACUGUAACUGACGUUGAGGCUCGAAAGCGUGGGGAGCAAACAGGAUUAGAUACCCCCGUA
RNAcentral lists this ribosomal RNA (447 nucleotides) under uncultured bacterium. RNAcentral describes it as "partial 16S ribosomal RNA". It matches the Rfam family "Bacterial small subunit ribosomal RNA", at positions 329 to 792 of the family's 1533-position model. The record is from RNAcentral.